AUACGUAGGUGGCAAGCGUUAUCCGGAAUUAUUGGGCGUAAAGAGGGAGCAGGCGGCAGCAAGGGUCUGUAGUGAAAGCCUGAAGCUUAACUUCAGUAAGCCAUAGAAACCAGGCAGCUAGAGUGCAGGAGAGGAUCGUGGAAUUCCAUGUGUAGCGGUGAAAUGCGUAGAUAUAUGGAGGAACACCAGUGGCGAAGGCGACGAUCUGGCCGGAAACGGCCGCUCAGUCCCGAAAGCAUGGGGAGCAAAUAGGAUUAGAUACCCUAGUAGUCCACGCCGUAAACGAUGAGUACUAAGUGUUGGAUGUCAAAGUUCAGUGCUGCAGUUAACGCAAUAAGUACUCCGCCUGAGUAGUACGUUCGCAAGAAUGAAACUCAAAUGAAUUGACGGGG
This 392-nucleotide ribosomal RNA is filed under the name uncultured bacterium. RNAcentral's name for it is "partial 16S ribosomal RNA". It matches the Rfam family "Bacterial small subunit ribosomal RNA", at positions 523 to 918 of the family's 1533-position model. The record is from RNAcentral.